GCUGGGCAUGGUGGUGCAUGCCUGUAAUCUCAGUGGCUUAGGAGGCUGAGGCAAGAGGAUCACAAGUUCAAGGCCAGCCUCAGCAAUUCAGGGAAACCCUAAGCAACUUACUGAGACCCUGUCUCUG
Molecule: small RNA, 127 nt
Filed under: Marmota monax (woodchuck)
Lineage: Eukaryota; Metazoa; Chordata; Mammalia; Rodentia; Sciuridae
Source: RNAcentral